GACGAACGCUGGCGGCGUGCUUAACACAUGCAAGUCGAACGGACAGGCCCUGCUUUUGUGGGGUGCUCGAGUGGCGAACGGGUGAGUAACACGUGAGUAACCUGCCCUUGACUUUGGGAUAACUUCAGGAAACUGGGGCUAAUACCGGAUAGGAGCUCCUGCUGCAUGGUGGGGGUUGGUAAGUUUCGGCGGUUGGGGAUGGACUCGCGGCUUAUCAGCUUGUUGGUGGGGUAGUGGCUUACCAAGGCUUUGACGGGUAGCCGGCCUGAGAGGGUGACCGGCCACAUUGGGACUGAGAUACGGCCCAGACUCCUACGGGAGGCAGCAGUGGGGAAUAUUGCACAAUGGGCGGAAGCCUGAUGCAGCAACGCCGCGUGCGGGAUGACGGCCUUCGGGUUGUAAACCGCUUUCGCCUGUGACGAAGCGUGAGUGACGGUAAUGGGUAAAGAAGCACCGGCUAACUACGUG
Molecule: ribosomal RNA, 468 nt
Filed under: uncultured bacterium
Lineage: Bacteria
Description: partial 16S ribosomal RNA
Rfam family: Bacterial small subunit ribosomal RNA
Source: RNAcentral